UGGGGAAUAUUGGACAAUGGGCGAAAGCCUGAUCCAGCCAUGCCGCGUGUGUGAAGAAGGUCUUCGGAUUGUAAAGCACUUUAAGUUGGGAGGAAGGGCAUUAACCUAAUACGUUAGUGGUUUGACGUUACCGACAGAAUAAGCACCGGCUAACUCUGUGCCAGCAGCCGCGGUAAUACAGAGGGUGCAAGCGUUAAUCGGAAUUACUGGGCGUAAAGCGCGCGUAGGUGGUUUGUUAAGUUGGAUGUGAAAGCCCCGGGCUCAACCUGGGAACUGCAUCCAAAACUGGCAAGCUAGAGUACGGUAGAGGGUGGUGGAAUUUCCUGUGUAGCGGUGAAAUGCGUAGAUAUAGGAAGGAACACCAGUGGCGAAGGCGACCACCUGGACUGAUACUGACACUGAGGUGCGAAAGCGUGGGGAGCAAACA
This 427-nucleotide ribosomal RNA is filed under the name uncultured bacterium. RNAcentral describes it as "partial 16S ribosomal RNA". It matches the Rfam family "Bacterial small subunit ribosomal RNA", at positions 355 to 774 of the family's 1533-position model. The record is from RNAcentral.